This 545-nucleotide long non-coding RNA is filed under the name Solanum tuberosum (potato). RNAcentral describes it as "long non-coding RNA (STUB_LNC002090)". Lineage: Eukaryota; Viridiplantae; Streptophyta; Magnoliopsida; Solanales; Solanaceae. The record is from RNAcentral.
GUCUUCUUGCUUCUCUUUGUUCUUUGUUCUUUUUUCUUCUUUUGCCCUUCUUUUUUUUUUCAAAAUAAUAAUAAUUGUAAACCUCCUUGUUAACAUUGUUCCUUUUUUUAAAAAAAUGAAAAUAAAUUGUUAUGUAGUUCUUUAGCAUGUAAAUAAAGAAAUUUCUUCGAUUUGAGAGUAUUAUAGAAUUCCAUUACCUUCAUCUUAAUGGAGUUCCGCUGCAUAAUUGUUGUAAUUUUGAAAAGAAAUGGUAGAUUGGAGGUGAUUAUUAAUUUUCAAUUUAUAAUUUGUUAGUAAUUUUAUUUUUGAUUUAACAAUAAUUUGAUGAUAUUAAUGGUGGAAUUGAUAUUAUAAUAGUGACGUGAUGAAGACUACUCUGGAGGAUUGACGAAGAAGGCGGCUACGUAGAGGAUUCCUGGUGAUGAUGGACUGAAGAAGAGCAGAGGGGAGGGUAAUGAAGAAAGAAGAAGAAAGAGAAGAAGAAAAAGAAAAUGAAGUUAAUAAAAUAUGAAAAAACGUCUAUAAAUCUUUUUAGUCAAGCGGAU